Molecule: ribosomal RNA, 492 nt
Filed under: uncultured bacterium
Lineage: Bacteria
Description: partial 16S ribosomal RNA
Rfam family: Bacterial small subunit ribosomal RNA
Source: RNAcentral
AGUGAACGCUGGCGGUAGGCCUAACACAUGCAAGUCGAACGGCAGCACAGUAAGAGCUUGCUCUUACGGGUGGCGAGUGGCGGACGGGUGAGGAAUACAUCGGAAUCUACUUUUUCGUGGGGGAUAACGUAGGGAAACUUACGCUAAUACCGCAUACGACCUACGGGUGAAAGCAGGGGAUCUUCGGACCUUGCGCGAUUGAAUGAGCCGAUGUCGGAUUAGCUAGUUGGCGGGGUAAAGGCCCACCAAGGCGACGAUCCGUAGCUGGUCUGAGAGGAUGAUCAGCCACACUGGAACUGAGACACGGUCCAGACUCCUACGGGGGGCAGCAGUGGGGAAUAUUGGACAAUGGGCGCAAGCCUGAUCCAGCCAUACCGCGUGGGCGAAGAAGGCCUUCGGGUUGUAAAGCCCUUUUGUUGGGAAAGAAAAGCAGCAGGUUAAUACCCCGCUGUUCUGACGGUACCCAAAGAAUAAGCACCGGCUAACUUCGUG